AAUCAACGCUGGCGGCGUGCCUCAGACAUGCAAGUCGAACGAUUAAACUUUCCUUCGGGAAAGAUAUAAAGUGGCGCACGGGUGAGUAACACGUAAGUAAUCUACCUUUGAGUGGGGAAUAACAUCGGGAAACCGAUGCUAAUACCGCAUAAUGCAGCGGCAUCGCAAGAUGACAGUUGUUAAAGAUUUAUCGCUUAAAGAGGAGCUUGCGGCAGAUUAGCAGUUGGUAAGGUAAUGGCUUACCAAGGCUACGAUCUGUAACCGGUCUAAGAGGACGGUCGGUCACACUGACACUGAAUAACGGGUCAAACUCCUACGGGAGGCAGCAGGUCGGGUAAUUUUGGGCAAUGGGCGAAAGCCUGACCCAGCAACGCCGCGUGAAGGAUGAAGUA
This 392-nucleotide ribosomal RNA is filed under the name uncultured bacterium. Its description in RNAcentral is "bacterial SSU rRNA". It matches the Rfam family "Bacterial small subunit ribosomal RNA", at positions 32 to 415 of the family's 1533-position model. The record is from RNAcentral.